CAGUCGCCGCGGUAAUACGUAGGUGGCGAGCGUUGUCCGGAAUCAUUGGGCGUAAAGGGAGCGCAGGCGGGCAUGUAAGUCUUUCUUAAAAGUUCGGGGCUCAACCCCGUGAUGGGAAAGAAACUACAUGUCUUGAGUACAGGAGAGGAAAGCGGAAUUCCCAGUGUAGCGGUGAAAUGCGUAGAUAUUGGGAGGAACACCAGUGGCGAAGGCGGCUUUCUGGUCUGUCACUGACGCUGAGGCUCGAAAGCGUGGGUAGCGAACAGGAUUAGAUACCCCUGUAGUCCCUGUCUCUUAUACA
Molecule: ribosomal RNA, 301 nt
Filed under: uncultured bacterium
Lineage: Bacteria
Description: partial 16S ribosomal RNA
Rfam family: Bacterial small subunit ribosomal RNA
Source: RNAcentral